GAUGAACGCUGGCGGCGUGCUUAACACAUGCAAGUCGAACGGAAAGGCUCCUGCUUGCAGGGGUACUCGAGUGGCGAACGGGUGAGUAACACGUGGGUGAUCUGCCCUGCACUUCGGGAUAAGCCUGGGAAACUGGGUCUAAUACCGGAUAGGACGAUGGUUUGGAUGCCAUUGUGGAAAGUUUUUUCGGUGUGGGAUGAGCUCGCGGCCUAUCAGCUUGUUGGUGGGGUAAUGGCCUACCAAGGCGUCGACGGGUAGCCGGCCUGAGAGGGUGUACGGCCACAUUGGGACUGAGAUACGGCCCAGACUCCUACGGGAGGCAGCAGUGGGGAAUAUUGCACAAUGGGCGCAAGCCUGAUACAGCGACGCCGCGUGGGGGAUGACGGCCUUCGGGUUGUAAACUCCUUUCGCUAGGGACGAAGCGCAAGUGACGGUACCUGGAGAAGAAGCACCGGCUAACUACGUG
This 466-nucleotide ribosomal RNA is filed under the name uncultured bacterium. Its description in RNAcentral is "partial 16S ribosomal RNA". It matches the Rfam family "Bacterial small subunit ribosomal RNA", at positions 28 to 507 of the family's 1533-position model. The record is from RNAcentral.